RNAcentral lists this signal recognition particle RNA (97 nucleotides) under Geminocystis sp. RNAcentral describes it as "signal recognition particle sRNA small type". It matches the Rfam family "Bacterial small signal recognition particle RNA". From Rfam's summary of the family: The signal recognition particle (SRP) is a universally conserved ribonucleoprotein involved in the co-translational targeting of proteins to membranes. Archaeal SRP consists of a 7S RNA and homologues of the eukaryotic SRP19 and SRP54 proteins. In most bacteria, the SRP consists of a 4.5S RNA and the Ffh protein (a homologue of the eukaryotic SRP54 protein). The record is from RNAcentral. Lineage: Bacteria; Bacillati; Cyanobacteriota; Cyanophyceae; Chroococcales; Geminocystaceae. RNAcentral also lists the same sequence under 2 other names.
GACUCGGACUAACGCUGCCAUGACUCUCAAACCUUGUCAGGACCGGAAGGUAGCAGCAAUACGAGAUGCUCAUGGUAGGCGUCAGUUCCGGGUCUUU